GAUGAACGCUAGCUACAGGCUUAACACAUGCAAGUCGAGGGGUAACGAGAGGGAAGCUUGCUUUCCUUGUCGACGACCGGCGCACGGGUGAGUAACGCGUAUCCAACCUGCCCCCAACUAAGGAAUAACCUUGCGAAAGUAAGACUAAUACCCUAUAAUUUCCUCAGAUGACAUCUGACGAGGAAUAAAGAUUUAUCGGUUGUGGAUGGGGAUGCGUCUGAUUAGCUUGUUGGCGGGGUAACGGCCCACCAAGGCAACGAUCAGUAGGGGUUCUGGGAGGAAGGGCCCCCACAAUGGAACUGAGACCCGGUCCAAACUCCUACGGGAGGCAGCAGUGAGGAAUAUUGGUCAAUGGGCGGAAGCCUGAACCAGCCAAGUAGCGUGCAGGAUGACGGCCCUAUGGGUUGUAAACUGCUUUUAUACAGGAAUAAAGUUAGCCACGUGUGGUUAUUUGUAGGUACUGUAUGAAUAAGGACCGGCUAAUUCCGUGCCAGCCGCCGCAGUAA
RNAcentral lists this ribosomal RNA (506 nucleotides) under uncultured bacterium. RNAcentral describes it as "partial 16S ribosomal RNA". It matches the Rfam family "Bacterial small subunit ribosomal RNA", at positions 28 to 523 of the family's 1533-position model. The record is from RNAcentral.